GGGAGUGUGGUUCAGUGGUAGAGCAUUUGCCUGGCAUAUGUGAGGUCCUGGGUUUGAUCCCCAGCACUGCAA
RNAcentral lists this transfer RNA (72 nucleotides) under Marmota marmota marmota (Alpine marmot). It matches the Rfam family "tRNA". Rfam says of the family: Transfer RNA (tRNA) molecules are approximately 80 nucleotides in length. Their secondary structure includes four short double-helical elements and three loops (D, anti-codon, and T loops). The record is from Rfam by way of RNAcentral. RNAcentral also lists the same sequence under 4 other names. Lineage: Eukaryota; Metazoa; Chordata; Mammalia; Rodentia; Sciuridae.